Beta vulgaris subsp. vulgaris (sugar beet) is the source of this 736-nucleotide long non-coding RNA. RefSeq lists it as uncharacterized. The record is from RefSeq and is a predicted model, not a curated record. The transcript is spliced from 2 exons. NCBI's taxonomy places the organism in Eukaryota, Viridiplantae, Streptophyta, Magnoliopsida, Caryophyllales, Amaranthaceae.
ACUAGCUAGCAUGCAAUAAACUUUCUUUCUUGAUUUCAAUGGUUCGUGAUCUCUUUUGUGGAGGAAGAUGCAGAUUUGGAACAAAGACACGCUAUGUAAAACGCCAAAAUAAAUUGAGCCCUAAUUUUAAAAACAACCCAAAAAUAAAUAGAAACAACAAAGCUCUGAAAUUUGAAGAUGAAUUACCUUGCAACCUAAUUUUUCAGAUCUGGAUUGUCUUUCAAAGGAGAGAACUUUGAAGAAGCUGGAGCGAAAAAAUUGGUACAUGACAAAGAUGAGGAAGUAGAGCUAUAAUGGGGGGAUUCUAAGCAAGUGGUAUUGUAAUGGCUGUAAUUCAGAUUUGAAAUUCACGCACAACAUUUGGAGGGAAAGAUAAGGUCAAUGUAAGAUAAUUGACCAUUUUAGCCGAAAAUGAUGUGCAAGUACUCAAAUUAACCAUUUACCAACGAUAAGGUAAUAUUUUUUUGUUCUUACUACGAGGAGUUUCCACCCUUUGGCGAGUGGACUCUCCUACGGGAGUUUGCACGGGUACCUCAAAGGGCAGCAUCCCUCCCAGCUGAGAUUUUUUCCAUACCCAAGGCUCGAACCCGAGACCUUGGUUAAGGAGCGAGAGGCCCUUAACCACUCACGCCAACCCCAGUUGGUCACCAACGAUAAGGUGAUUCCUCAGAGGAAACGAUGUGAAGCCGGUUCAGGUGAUCAUGAUAAAGAAUUAGAAGACGAGGGGAAAACAGAG